Molecule: long non-coding RNA, 566 nt
Filed under: Pongo abelii (Sumatran orangutan)
Lineage: Eukaryota; Metazoa; Chordata; Mammalia; Primates; Hominidae
Description: lincRNA
Source: RNAcentral
GUAGAACUUGUACAAUAGAGCUUAUAGGCUAAUGAGAAGACAGGAAGAAACAACAGGAACACAUAUAGCUGGAGUGCAGAUGGGAUCUGUGCUACUUACGCUAGCCAUGGGAUGAUUAGAACAAGAUAAGAGACAUGAGGAAGACUUCUUCAAGGAGGUGCUCAAGCCAUGUUUUGGAAAAGAGAACUCAAGGUCUGGCAGGGAGAAAGGAGCAAGGGCAAGUAGAGCUGUGGCUGUCUGGCGCCACUGUAAUGCUGUCUCCUCCUCUGAGUUCAUCCCGGAAACAUUUUCUCCCAUAAGACAUGCGCAGGUCUUACGUUUACAUGUUUCACUGAAAGAAAUUUGAUUCCACUGAUGGGAUGACAAGGAAGACUGGAGAAACCUAAUCCUAGGUGCUGCCAUUGGGACAAACAAGAAGCACCAGACACAGUGCUGUUUUAGGGUGGGGCAGAAUUAUGCUGAGGGAAAAGUUAUUAUCACUCUUUAAGGCCAAGGAAACCACAAGUUUUAAAGAAGCUUCAAGAAAUUCUACCCAAUAGAAAAUAAAGAUAAAUUUCUGUAAGGAA